This 216-nucleotide unclassified non-coding RNA is filed under the name Ascomycota sp. Its description in RNAcentral is "partial contains small subunit ribosomal RNA, internal transcribed spacer 1, and 5.8S ribosomal RNA". The stretch from base 1 to 47 matches the Rfam family "Eukaryotic small subunit ribosomal RNA", at positions 1785 to 1831 of the family's 1831-position model. The record is from RNAcentral. Lineage: Eukaryota; Fungi; Ascomycota.
AAAGUCGUAACAAGGUCUCCGUUGGUGAACCAGCGGAGGGAUCAUUACAGAGUUGCAAAACUCCCAACCCUUUGCGAACGAACUAGACAGUUGCCUCGGCGGGGAGCCCUUCAGGGGGCGGCCCGCCGGAGGACCACUAAACUCUGUUUCUAUAUGUAACUUCUGAGUAAAACCAUAAAUAAAUCAAAACUUUCAACAACGGAUCUCUUGGUUCUG